This 261-nucleotide ribosomal RNA is filed under the name uncultured prokaryote. Its description in RNAcentral is "partial 16S ribosomal RNA". It matches the Rfam family "Bacterial small subunit ribosomal RNA", at positions 524 to 784 of the family's 1533-position model. The record is from RNAcentral.
UACGGAGGAUGCGAGCGUUAUCCGGAUUUAUUGGGUUUAAAGGGUGCGUAGGUGGAUUGGUAAGUCAGUGGUGAAAGUUUGCAGCUUAACUGUAAAAUUGCCGUUGAAACUGCCGGUCUUGAGUGCAAAUGAGGUAGGCGGAAUGCGUCGUGUAGCGGUGAAAUGCUUAGAUAUCACGAAGAACUCCAAUUGCGUAGGCAGCUCACUGGGCUACAACUGACGCUGAGGCACGAAGGUGCGGGGAUCAAACAGGAUUAGAUA